AUUGAACGCUGGCGGAAUGCUUUACACAUGCAAGUCGAACGGCAGCACGGACUUCGGUCUGGUGGCGAGUGGCGAACGGGUGAGUAAUGUAUCGGAACGUGCCCAGUCGUGGGGGAUAACGUAGUGAAGAUUACGCUAAUACCGCAUACGAUCUAUGGAUGAAAGCGGGGGAUCGCAAGACCUCGCGCGAUUGGAGCGGCCGAUAUCAGAUUAGGUAGUUGGUGGGGUAAAGGCCCACCAAGCCAACGAUCUGUAGCUGGUCUGAGAGGACGAACAGCCACACUGGAACUGAGACACGGUCCAGACUCCUACGGGAGGCAGCAGUGGGGAAUUUUGGACAAUGGGCGAAAGCCUGAUCCAGCCAUUCCGCGUGCAGGAUGAGGGCCCUCGGGUUGUAAACUGCUUUUGUACAGAACGAAGAGGUUUCUACUAAUACUAGGAGCUCAUGACGGUACUGUAAGAAUAAGCACCGGCUAACUACGUGCCAGCCGCCGCCGUAA
RNAcentral lists this ribosomal RNA (500 nucleotides) under uncultured bacterium. Its description in RNAcentral is "partial 16S ribosomal RNA". It matches the Rfam family "Bacterial small subunit ribosomal RNA", at positions 30 to 523 of the family's 1533-position model. The record is from RNAcentral.